UACAGAGGUCCCAAGCGUUGUUCGGAUUCACUGGGCGUAAAGGGUGCGUAGGCGGUCGGGUAAGUCUGAUGUGAAAUCUCCGGGCUCAACCCGGAAAUGGCAUUGGAUACUAUCCGGCUCGAGGAAUGGAGGGGAGACUGGAAUACUUGGUGUAGCAGUGAAAUGCGUAGAUAUCAGGAAGAACACCCGUGGCGAAAGCGGCUCUCUGGGACGGUACUGACGCUGAGACGCGAAAGCGUGGGGAGCAAACAGG
RNAcentral lists this ribosomal RNA (253 nucleotides) under uncultured bacterium. RNAcentral describes it as "partial 16S ribosomal RNA". It matches the Rfam family "Bacterial small subunit ribosomal RNA", at positions 524 to 776 of the family's 1533-position model. The record is from RNAcentral.